Molecule: ribosomal RNA, 327 nt
Filed under: Triticum aestivum (bread wheat)
Lineage: Eukaryota; Viridiplantae; Streptophyta; Magnoliopsida; Poales; Poaceae
Description: partial small subunit ribosomal RNA
Source: RNAcentral
AUGGGAUCCCUAUCCCGCGAGAUCCUCGCCCAGGUCGCUACGCUCUCCACGCCGGCCGAAGUAUGGACGGCGAUCCAUGCUAUGUUUGCUGCCCAAAGCCAAGCUCAAGCAAUCAACACGCGUAUUGAGCUCACAAAUCUUCAAAAAGGUAACAUGUCUAUGGAAGAAUACCUUGGCAAAAUUAGAAGUCUUACCGAUGAGGUCGCCUGCACUGCCACCGCGCUCUCUGAUCCGGAGAUCGUGUCCAAGACUCUUGCCGGCCUCGACAUGGACUAUAAUCCUGUGGUCUCCGCCCUCGCUGCUCGGGUGGAACCGAUCACCGUAUAG